GACGAACGCUGGCGGCGUGCUUAACACAUGCAAGUCGAACGGAAAGGCCCUGCUUUUGUGGGGUGCUCGAGUGGCGAACGGGUGAGUAACACGUGAGUAACCUGCCCUUGACUUUGGGAUAACUUCAGUAAACUGGGUCUAAUACCGGAUAGGAGCUCCUGCUGCAUGGUGGGGGUUGGAAAGUUUCGGCGGUUGGGGAUGGACUCGCGGCUUAUCAGCUUGUUGGUGGGGUAGUGGCUUACCAAGGCUUUGACGGGUAGCCGGCCUGAGAGGGUGACCGGCCACAUUGGGACUGAGAUACGGCCCAGACUCCUACGGGAGGCAGCAGUGGGGAAUAUUGCACAAUGGGCGGAAGCCUGAUGCAGCAACGCCGCGUGCGGGAUGACGGCCUUCGGGUUGUAAACCGCUUUCGCCUGUGACGAAGCGUGAGUGACGGUAAUGGGUAAAGAAGCACCGGCUAACUACGUG
This 468-nucleotide ribosomal RNA is filed under the name uncultured bacterium. Its description in RNAcentral is "partial 16S ribosomal RNA". It matches the Rfam family "Bacterial small subunit ribosomal RNA", at positions 28 to 507 of the family's 1533-position model. The record is from RNAcentral.